Molecule: transfer RNA, 76 nt
Filed under: Staphylococcus aureus
Lineage: Bacteria; Bacillati; Bacillota; Bacilli; Caryophanales; Staphylococcaceae
Description: tRNA-Thr
Rfam family: tRNA
About the family: Transfer RNA (tRNA) molecules are approximately 80 nucleotides in length.
Source: RNAcentral
GCCGGCCUAGCUCAAUUGGUAGAGCAACUGACUUGUAAUCAGUAGGUUGGGGGUUCAAGUCCUCUGGGCGGCACCA